Long non-coding RNA from Gorilla gorilla gorilla (western lowland gorilla), 1386 nucleotides. RefSeq lists it as uncharacterized. Lineage: Eukaryota; Metazoa; Chordata; Mammalia; Primates; Hominidae. The transcript is spliced from 2 exons. The record is from RefSeq and is a predicted model, not a curated record.
ACCUGACAGCCAAGCCACGCCCCUCGCCACCCCGAAGCUCCGCCCCUGGGGGAGACGCCCACCCUCUGGUGCGAGCUCACUGGCUAUCUCGCCUGACUGUCCCGUGGAGGGGCGGAGCCUCGCCUCCAGUCCUCUUCCACGGCCGCCUCUGUUUAUCCGCUUGCCAUUGGCCCCAGGGACUGCCAGUCGGCUCUAGGGAUGGACUCUAACUUGAGGUCUCAUCCUAACAUUGCAUCUAUUGGCAGAUAGAAAGUUGCUUCCUCCUGAUUGGACAAGGCUCUGUCAGUAAGACUAAGGAAAAAACCAAUGGAAGGGAUGGGGUGUGUCUUGCCCCACCCUUGCUCUGAGCAGCUCUGAAAAAUAGUUAGGAUGAGAAAACGACCCUCAUUGUAAAGAUGAAGAAACCGAAGUUCAGAGAAGUCACAAAACUACAAAGUGGCACACCCCAAGCUAGAACCUCCUUCCUCUCAUUUGAAGGACCACCAAACCAGCUGUUCCCCUCAUGGAAGAGGAGCAUAGACAUAAAAUGUCAAGGCAGUGGGGAAGGGGCAGAGAAAAGGCACAAACACUUGGAGGAGAGACAGAACAAUUAAUUGGCACAAAAAUACAGUAUUGGUGUCAGGAGGCUUUGGUGGGCUUGGAAACAUCAAGCAGCAGAUCUGAAGGAAAUCCAGCCCUGGCAUGAAAGAAACGGGGCAGGCCAGGCGCAGUGGCUCACUCCUGUAAUCUCAGCAUUUUGGGAGGCAAAGGCGGGUGGAUCACCUGAGGUCGGGAGUUCAACACCAGCCUGGCCAAUAUGGUGAAGCCCCAUCUCUACAAAAAAUACAAAAAGUUAGCCGAGCGUGGUGGCGGGCAACUAUAAUCCCAGCUGCUUGGGAGACUGAGGCAGGAGAAUUGCUUGAACCCGGGAGGCGGAAGUUGCAGUAAGCCGAGACCAUGUCACUGCACUCCAGCCUGGGCAUGACAGAGCGAGACUCCAUCUCAAACAAAAAAAAAAAGAAAAGAAAAAAAUAAACCGGGCAGCACACCCCUCUGCGAUAGGAGAGCCUGGGGUAGAGAUCAGAAAGAACUUCUUGGCCGGGCGUGGUGGCUCAUGCCUGUAAUCCCAGCAGUUUGGGAGGCCAAGGUGGGCAGAUCACUUCAGGUCAGGAGUUCGAGACCAGCCUGGCUGACAUGGUGAAACCCCAUCUCUACUAAAAAUACAGAAAUUAGCCAGGCAUGGCAGCGGGCACCUGUAAUGCCAGCUACUCGGGAGGCUGAGGCAGGAGAAUGGCGUGAACACGGGAGGCAGAGGUUGCAGUGAGCUGAGAUCAUGCCAUUGCACUCCAGCCUGGGUGACAGAGUGAGACUCUGUCUCAAAAAAAUAAAAAUGACUUCUCACAGGCA